RNAcentral lists this non-coding RNA (99 nucleotides) under unclassified sequences. Its description in RNAcentral is "malK-III RNA". It matches the Rfam family "malK-III RNA". The record is from RNAcentral.
GGACCCGAUGCCACGUACGGGGCUCGUCGACGGCGCGAUUCUUCGCGCCGAGAUGCAGGAGCCCGCGAUGGGAUCACCUCCGGGAGGAGUACAUCCGUG